GAUGAACGCUAGCGAUAGGCUUAACACAUGCAAGUCGAGGGGCAGCACAAGGUAGCUUGCUAUCUGGGUGGCGACCGGCGCACGGGUGCGUAACGCGUAUGCAACUUGCCCUAUACAGGAGGAUAACCCGUCGAAAGACGGACUAAUACUGCGUAUGCUCACAACUUGGCAUCAAGUGGUGAGGAAAGAAAUUCGGUAUAGGAUAGGCAUGCGUCCCAUUAGCUUGUUGGUGAGGUAACGGCUCACCAAGGCAACGAUGGGUAGGGGAACUGAGAGGUUUAUCCCCCACACGGGUACUGAGAACCGGACCAGACACCUACGGGAGGCAGCAGUAAGGAAUAGUGGUCAAGGGGCGCGAGCCUGAACCGGCCAAGUCGCGUGAAGGAUGACUGUCCUAGGGAUUGUAAACUUCUUUUAUACGGGAAUAACAAGAGUCACGUGUGACUCCCUGCAUGUACCGUAUGAAUAAGCAUCGGCUAACUCCGUG
This 487-nucleotide ribosomal RNA is filed under the name uncultured bacterium. RNAcentral describes it as "partial 16S ribosomal RNA". It matches the Rfam family "Bacterial small subunit ribosomal RNA", at positions 28 to 507 of the family's 1533-position model. The record is from RNAcentral.